GCCAGUGUGGUGUAGUGGUUUGAGCACUGGACUAUAGCUCUGGAAACCAGGGUUCAAAUCCCUGCUUGGCCA
This is a non-coding RNA of Phrynosoma platyrhinos (Desert horned lizard), 72 nucleotides long. NCBI's taxonomy places the organism in Eukaryota, Metazoa, Chordata, Lepidosauria, Squamata, Phrynosomatidae. The record is from the annotation of a GenBank genome assembly.